GCGGAUGUGGCGAAAUUGGUAGACGCACUAGACUUAGGAUCUAGCGCCGCGAGGCAUGGGGGUUCGAGUCCCUCCAUCCGCACAC
This 85-nucleotide transfer RNA is filed under the name Cytophaga hutchinsonii ATCC 33406. RNAcentral's name for it is "tRNA-Leu". It matches the Rfam family "tRNA". Rfam says of the family: Transfer RNA (tRNA) molecules are approximately 80 nucleotides in length. Lineage: Bacteria; Pseudomonadati; Bacteroidota; Cytophagia; Cytophagales; Cytophagaceae. The record is from RNAcentral.